CUUUAUUUAUCUUAUGUUUUAGUCACCCUGUACCCAUUAUAGGUGCAGGGUGUGUGUAAUGUAAUUGUUUAUAGUGUGUGUGUGUGUGUGUGUACUGUGUAAUGUAUUGCCUGCUUUCUUGUAUUGCUGAGGUUUGCUUGCUACCAACUAGGUGGGUUUGGCUAUGGAGCUUGUCUAGUGCCCUCUGUUGGUAGCAACAGCAAUAUGCACUACCUGAAUUGCAAGAC
Pelobates cultripes (western spadefoot toad) is the source of this 227-nucleotide non-coding RNA. The record is from the annotation of a GenBank genome assembly. NCBI's taxonomy places the organism in Eukaryota, Metazoa, Chordata, Amphibia, Anura, Pelobatidae.